AGAGAUUUGAUAAAGUGCCGUAUCAAAGAGUACCACCACGAGACAAGAACACAGGGAUGAAGGUAGUGUGUUGGCAUGGAUAAAGGAUUGGUCAGUUAACAUAAACCAGAAAAUAUAGAUAAUUGGGUCCUUUUCAAGUUGUCAAGCUGUAAACUGAGUGCAACAAGAAUCAGAGCCAUCUUCCGAGGAAUUAUAUUAGUGAUGUCUAUAUCACUGUUUUGUAAAGAAUAAUAAUGUGAAUGAUGGAGCAAACUUGACAGCAAGUGGCAGAGUAGAGGCAUUAUGGACGGCACGCCAUGUAACCCUGAUGGGAGAUCCAGAAGAAAUUCAGGGAUAUAGAAGGAACAGAAAGAGAAAUGAAACUCUUAAUACAUACAGGCCACAAAGGAGCACAAGCAAUGGCCUGAGGACCAUCACAUUUGAGUACUGAAACAGAAACAGCACAGAUUUCAAUACUAAGUUAAGGAAGAAACCUCUGGUGAGGCACAAGUACUGAUGAGGAUGCUGGUAUUUAACAGUAACCUAGUGAUCUCAGGAUAUUAGUGAGCACCCUGCUUGCUGCUGCUAAUUUGCAGCAAAUUACAGACUUUUCUGCACCAAUCCUAAUUCAACAUGGCACCCGUAUUGAGUCUUGUGCCUCCUUUCACAAACAGUGGGAGGUGACCUCUGAUGGUGCCAAUGCCCAUAUUUACACUGACGCGGUGGAACAGUUCUUUGCUGAGCACUUUGCCAUGUAGUGACAUCAACAGCAUCUGCAACAAUGACCCAGUUCCCCAGCACAGCAAGAAUACUUCUAGUGAAAACCUCUGCUGCACAUUGAGAAUUUGUGUCUAAUUAUGGUGACAAAGUCAUGAUGGACUUCUAAAGGAAACAAGGCCAUCGUGACUCCUGCAAAGAUGGAUGGACUCCGCAGCAGAGGUGCUUUAGUUUUAACCACAAACACUGGUCUCUGUAAUUGUGUGUCUCAUGUAGCCACUCCUGCUAUUCCUUUAAUGAAGCAAAAUAGAUGGCAGUACAGUACAUCAAAAACUAACAUUGAAACAUUCUUGGAUUGUAAUGAGAAAACAAUGGAAAAAAUAUAUUGAACAUGCACUAAAGCACAAAAUAAAAAUAAAUUUA
Chiloscyllium plagiosum (whitespotted bambooshark) is the source of this 1119-nucleotide non-coding RNA. The record is from RefSeq and is a predicted model, not a curated record. Lineage: Eukaryota; Metazoa; Chordata; Chondrichthyes; Orectolobiformes; Hemiscylliidae.